AAAAAAAAAAGCAAAAAAACUCUUGGCAUAUAGAGCUAAGCAGUGGGAAGAAGAUAGCUUUCUAAACCAUGACCCAAUAGGUCUGAUAACAUAACAUUUAACUGGAUAAAUUACAUAAUUUUGUAUAUAUGUAGGGGGGAGUUGAAUUCAGUUUUGCUGUUUACAGGCUGCACCAAUGCAUUGUUAAAAGAUGUAUAUUUUAGUGAUAAUUGUGAUUAAUUACAAAAUAAUUGCUAAUAAGCAGGUAAAUAAACCAAAUUAUAAUUUAGAGUGCAUCCUUUGUUUAAAGUGAAAUGGAUCUAAAUUGAGGAUAUAAUUUUGAGUUUUAAUCUGGGGAAAGUUCUUUAACUUUUCUGAGCUACAGUCUCUUCACCUGGAGCUUAGACACACCAGCCUGGCAGGGGUAUGUCAGCUGUCUGCUUGAAAGGAGAAAGACAGUAAUCUGUGUGAAAUACUCACCGAGCACCCAACAUAUAAGCAGGCUCUUCAUAAAGUCAUUUUGAGGUAUCCACAAGUAUUUCUUUUUUCUAAACAAAAUUUCUUUGUUUUUUGUUUGUUUUGCUUUGCAAAGGUCUUGCUUGCUAGAAAGCUAUCUGCAUUAAGCUGCUUCUCAUCACAUUAUAAAACUAAGGAUGAUCAUUUUUAAACAAACAAAAGUAUUUAGUUAUCUUUUCAAAGUAAAAUAUAGCUUUCCCUAAACUGUUUUAGGUGAGCCAUGCACACAAUGUGAAAGAAUGAAGAAACCAACAAAACACUUGGUGAAAAUGAUGAAUUCUGGGGCGCUGAUUCAUGUGACUUGAAAAAUGCCAUCCAUUUCCUGAUUCACCUCAAUUCUGUUCGGAACUAUGAAAGAUCAUUUAUGUUUCUGCACUAAUUGACCAAUUUUGUCUUGUCUUUACUUCCCUCCCUAGUGCUUGAAUUUCAGCCACAUCCCUAAGCUGCCAUCUCAGACCAGAGGAACAGGGAGGGGGGCUUUCUGGAAAGAACAUCACCUGGAAGAAAUCAGGACAUGACUGUGGGCCAUGAGUGACCUUCAAAGGAAAGCCGGGUAUCUGUGGUCUUUAAGAUGUGGUAAGAUUGUAUUAAAAUUAUAGAAAAAAACCUCAAUCCAGAAAUCGUGGCCUCUUGACAUUUACAUCUUAACUGCAUUUUCCUACCAAUGAGAUGCAUUACAAUCAUCCUCCAUAAGUGUUCUCUUUUUACCCCUGUUUCCAUUCUUUUAGAUCCAUGACAUUUAAAAACUGAAGAAAUGGAAAGAUCAUCUGAUCAGGCCCAUCAGUCUUUUUCCUAAUGCUAAACAUUGGUACAAAGACGUGAAGUUUGAUGUCUCACUAAGAUUGCCUAGGGCUGCUUUAUUGCUCACCUACUUCAAAGUAUUGGGAAAACAUGAUUAUGGGUACAGGUGAUGCUGUGUUGCCCCCAGACAGGUUUCUUUUGUCAGGUUCUUUUGAUGGAUUAGGAACCUACAAGUGGGGAGAUUUUAGGGAAAUAGCCCCUCCACUUGGAUUUCACCAAAACGUCUUUAGGGUUCUCUUACCCCAAGAAACACGCAUUCCUCUUUAGUGUGGCAGCCCACUCUAUUGGCAAAGUUAAGCAGACCAGUUUUACUAAAAAGGAGCCACCCAGAAACUUAGACAGAAAAUACUUGAGGCACAGAUGAGAAUGAGCACAAAUGUGCAUAGCAAGUGCAGUUUCCUGGCCCUUAAACUGAAGGGCCAGGUCAGUCUGCUCCUCCAGGCACAGCCUGGGACCCCAUCAUGUGCCCCACUCUGCAGUCUGAGCUUCCACUCAAGUCCACCAGGGCCUGCCUCACAUAUAUAUACAAGACCCAAUGUCAGAGUCUGCCUCUGCCCAUGUCUGGUCAGAGGGUUGCACUUUGCCACUGCUACAUGUUCCCAGAGGUUGGCACAGCAUGACCUGGACCUCACCUAACCCAGGCAAACUCUGCUCAUCUUCGAGCUCUCUGGAACCCAUUUCUCAAGGGAGAACCACAUUCCCCCACCUCACAGCCAAGUUCAAGGAAGCAGCCUGGCUAAAGCAAUGACUCAAGGAUACCAGAAGCAGAGCACGCAUUUAAGAAGAUGCGCUGACUCGCAGGAGCAGCUGACUCUUCUUAAGAAGAGUUUACUGAUUCUUCUUUCAGUACGGGCCUUUUAAUAAGAUAUUGUAUUUUACUUCAGCUAUGGGUGCAGACAAUUAAAGGAUUCUAGAAAUCUGAAA
Molecule: long non-coding RNA, 2220 nt
Filed under: Homo sapiens (human)
Lineage: Eukaryota; Metazoa; Chordata; Mammalia; Primates; Hominidae
Description: non-protein coding SNHG18:5
Rfam family: Small nucleolar RNA SNORD123 (bases 758-827)
Source: RNAcentral